GGCAGGUUGCCCGAGUGGCCAAAGGGAGCGGUCUGUAAAACCGUCGCGUCAUGCUACCCAGGUUCGAACCCUGGACCUGCCACCA
RNAcentral lists this transfer RNA (85 nucleotides) under Microbispora rosea subsp. aerata. RNAcentral's name for it is "tRNA-Tyr". It matches the Rfam family "tRNA". From Rfam's summary of the family: Transfer RNA (tRNA) molecules are approximately 80 nucleotides in length. Their secondary structure includes four short double-helical elements and three loops (D, anti-codon, and T loops). Further hydrogen bonds mediate the characteristic L-shaped molecular structure. tRNAs have two regions of fundamental functional importance: the anti-codon, which is responsible for specific mRNA codon recognition, and the 3' end, to which the tRNAs corresponding amino acid is attached (by aminoacyl-tRNA synthetases). tRNAs cope with the degeneracy of the genetic code in two manners: having more than one tRNA (with a specific anti-codon) for a particular amino acid; and 'wobble' base-pairing, i.e. permitting non-standard base-pairing at the 3rd anti-codon position. RNAcentral also lists the same sequence under 2 other names. The record is from RNAcentral. Lineage: Bacteria; Bacillati; Actinomycetota; Actinomycetes; Streptosporangiales; Streptosporangiaceae.